UACUUCUCUUAUUUGUCUGCAGUGUACUGUGAAUGACUGUUGUUAUGGACCACUGGUGGACUGCAUCAAACACGCUAUUGGACACGAGCAUGAAGUCUUGCUGCGAGAAAUGCUUUUG
Meleagris gallopavo (turkey) is the source of this 118-nucleotide non-coding RNA. Lineage: Eukaryota; Metazoa; Chordata; Aves; Galliformes; Phasianidae. The record is from RefSeq and is a predicted model, not a curated record.